RNAcentral lists this ribosomal RNA (475 nucleotides) under Schaalia funkei. RNAcentral's name for it is "bacterial SSU rRNA". It matches the Rfam family "Bacterial small subunit ribosomal RNA", at positions 36 to 494 of the family's 1533-position model. The record is from RNAcentral. Lineage: Bacteria; Bacillati; Actinomycetota; Actinomycetes; Actinomycetales; Actinomycetaceae.
CUGGCGGCGUGCUUAACACAUGCAAGUCGAACGGACUGGCCUUGAGCUUGCUUGGGGUUGGUGAGUGGCGAACGGGUGAGUAACACGUGAGUAACCUGCCCUCUUCUUUGGGAUAACGGUCGGAAACGGCUGCUAAUACUGGAUAUUCACUCAUUGGCGCAUGUUGGUGGGUGGAAAGAUGCACUUUUGGUGUUUUUGGUGGGGGAUGGGCUCGCGGCCUAUCAGCUUGUUGGUGGGGUGAUGGCCUACCAAGGCUUUGACGGGUAACCGGCCUGAGAGGGUGACCGGUCACAUUGGGACUGAGAUACGGCCCAGACUCCUACGGGAGGCAGCAGUGGGGAAUUUUGCACAAUGGGCGCAAGCCUGAUGCAGCGACGCCGCGUGAGGGAUGGAGGCCUUCGGGUUGUGAACCUCUUUCGCUCAUGGUCAAGCCGCGACUUUGGGUUGUGGUGAGGGUAGUGGGUAAAGAAGCGCC